This 468-nucleotide ribosomal RNA is filed under the name uncultured bacterium. RNAcentral's name for it is "partial 16S ribosomal RNA". It matches the Rfam family "Bacterial small subunit ribosomal RNA", at positions 28 to 507 of the family's 1533-position model. The record is from RNAcentral.
GACGAACGCUGGCGGCGUGCUUAACACAUGCAAGUCGAACGGAAAGGCCCUGCUUUUGUGUGGUGCUCGAGUGGCGAACGGGUGAGUAACACGUGAGUAACCUGCCCUUGACUUUGGGAUAACUUCAGGAAACUGGGGCUAAUACCGGAUAGGAGCUCCUGCUGCAUGGUGGGGGUUGGAAAGUUUCGGCGGUUGGGGAUGGACUCGCGGCUUAUCAGCUUGUUGGUGGGGUAGUGGCUUACCAAGGGUUUGACGGGUAGCCGGCCUGAGAGGGUGACCGGCCACAUUGGGACUGAGAUACGGCCCAGACUCCUACGGGAGGCAGCAGUGGGGAAUAUGGCACAAUGGGCGGAAGCCUGAUGCAGCAACGCCGCGUGCGGGAUGACGGCCUUCGGGUUGUAAACCGCUUUCGCCUGUGACGAAGCGUGAGUGACGGUAAUGGGUAAAGAAGCACCGGCUAACUACGUG